CCCUUAGAUGUCCUGGGCUGCACGCGCGCUACACUGAUGUGUCCAGUAAGCACCUAACCUCUUCCGAAAGGAACGGGUAACCUUUGCAAAGCACAGCGUGAUGGGGAUAGAUUAUUGCAAUUAUUAGUCUUGAACGAGGAAUUCCUAGUAAGCACAAGUCAUCAGCUUGUGUUGAUUACGUCCCUGCCCUUUGUACACACCGCCCGUCGCUCCUACCGAUUGAAUGUUCCGGUGAGCUCUUCGGACUGCGCGGUCUGCAGUUUCUGCGUUCCGUGCGGAAAGUUGCGCAAACCUUAACAUUUAGAGGAAGGAGAAGUCGUAACA
This 324-nucleotide ribosomal RNA is filed under the name uncultured eukaryote. Its description in RNAcentral is "partial 18S ribosomal RNA". It matches the Rfam family "Eukaryotic small subunit ribosomal RNA", at positions 1470 to 1796 of the family's 1831-position model. The record is from RNAcentral.